GACGAACGCUGGCGGCGUGCUUAACACAUGCAAGUCGAGCGGUAAGGCCCUUUCGGGGGUACGACGAGCGGCGAACGGGUGAGUAACACGUGGGUGACCUGCCCUCCAGCUCUGGGAGUAAGCCUGGGAAACCGGGUCUAAUACUGGAUAUGACUCCAUGACGCAUGUUGUGGGGUGGAAAGCCUUGUGCGGCUGAGGAUGGGCCCGCGGCCUAUCAGCUUGUUGGUGGGGUGAUGGCCUACCAAGGCGACGACGGGUAGCCGGCCUGAGAGGGCGACCGGCCACACUGGGACUGAGACACGGCCCAGACUCCUACGGGAGGCAGCAGUGGGGAAUCUUGCGCAAUGGGCGAAAAGCCUGACGCAGCGACGCCGCGUGAGGGAUGACGGCCUCGGUGUAAC
RNAcentral lists this ribosomal RNA (401 nucleotides) under uncultured bacterium. RNAcentral describes it as "bacterial SSU rRNA". It matches the Rfam family "Bacterial small subunit ribosomal RNA", at positions 28 to 429 of the family's 1533-position model. The record is from RNAcentral.